RNAcentral lists this ribosomal RNA (1501 nucleotides) under Klebsiella pneumoniae. RNAcentral's name for it is "bacterial SSU rRNA". It matches the Rfam family "Bacterial small subunit ribosomal RNA". The record is from RNAcentral. Lineage: Bacteria; Pseudomonadati; Pseudomonadota; Gammaproteobacteria; Enterobacterales; Enterobacteriaceae.
GAGUUUGAUCAUGGCUCAGAUUGAACGCUGGCGGCAGGCCUAACACAUGCAAGUCGAGCGGUAGCACAGAGAGCUUGCUCUCGGGUGACGAGCGGCGGACGGGUGAGUAAUGUCUGGGAAACUGCCUGAUGGAGGGGGAUAACUACUGGAAACGGUAGCUAAUACCGCAUAAUGUCGCAAGACCAAAGUGGGGGACCUUCGGGCCUCAUGCCAUCAGAUGUGCCCAGAUGGGAUUAGCUAGUAGGUGGGGUAACGGCUCACCUAGGCGACGAUCCCUAGCUGGUCUGAGAGGAUGACCAGCCACACUGGAACUGAGACACGGUCCAGACUCCUACGGGAGGCAGCAGUGGGGAAUAUUGCACAAUGGGCGCAAGCCUGAUGCAGCCAUGCCGCGUGUGUGAAGAAGGCCUUCGGGUUGUAAAGCACUUUCAGCGGGGAGGAAGGCGUUAAGGUUAAUAACCUUGUCGAUUGACGUUACCCGCAGAAGAAGCACCGGCUAACUCCGUGCCAGCAGCCGCGGUAAUACGGAGGGUGCAAGCGUUAAUCGGAAUUACUGGGCGUAAAGCGCACGCAGGCGGUCUGUCAAGUCGGAUGUGAAAUCCCCGGGCUCAACCUGGGAACUGCAUUCGAAACUGGCAGGCUAGAGUCUUGUAGAGGGGGGUAGAAUUCCAGGUGUAGCGGUGAAAUGCGUAGAGAUCUGGAGGAAUACCGGUGGCGAAGGCGGCCCCCUGGACAAAGACUGACGCUCAGGUGCGAAAGCGUGGGGAGCAAACAGGAUUAGAUACCCUGGUAGUCCACGCCGUAAACGAUGUCGAUUUGGAGGUUGUGCCCUUGAGGCGUGGCUUCCGGAGCUAACGCGUUAAAUCGACCGCCUGGGGAGUACGGCCGCAAGGUUAAAACUCAAAUGAAUUGACGGGGGCCCGCACAAGCGGUGGAGCAUGUGGUUUAAUUCGAUGCAACGCGAAGAACCUUACCUGGUCUUGACAUCCACAGAACUUACCAGAGAUGCUUUGGUGCCUUCGGGAACUGUGAGACAGGUGCUGCAUGGCUGUCGUCAGCUCGUGUUGUGAAAUGUUGGGUUAAGUCCCGCAACGAGCGCAACCCUUAUCCUUUGUUGCCAGCGGUCCGGCCGGGAACUCAAAGGAGACUGCCAGUGAUAAACUGGAGGAAGGUGGGGAUGACGUCAAGUCAUCAUGGCCCUUACGACCAGGGCUACACACGUGCUACAAUGGCAUAUACAAAGAGAAGCGACCUCGCGAGAGCAAGCGGACCUCAUAAAGUAUGUCGUAGUCCGGAUUGGAGUCUGCAACUCGACUCCAUGAAGUCGGAAUCGCUAGUAAUCGUAGAUCAGAAUGCUACGGUGAAUACGUUCCCGGGCCUUGUACACACCGCCCGUCACACCAUGGGAGUGGGUUGCAAAAGAAGUAGGUAGCUUAACCUUCGGGAGGGCGCUUACCACUUUGUGAUUCAUGACUGGGGUGAAGUCGUAACAGGGUAACCA